Long non-coding RNA from Cuculus canorus (common cuckoo), 2575 nucleotides. RefSeq lists it as uncharacterized. The record is from RefSeq and is a predicted model, not a curated record. The transcript has 2 exons. NCBI's taxonomy places the organism in Eukaryota, Metazoa, Chordata, Aves, Cuculiformes, Cuculidae.
UCACGAGAACACGAGCCCGCCAAAACGCGUCUCGCGCUCAGCUCUCGCGAGAGCACGAGCCCGCCAAAACGCUUCCCGCUCGCUGCCGCCUCAGAGCGGGACCCACUGAGCUCUCCUGGUGCCGUGGCCCCGGUGAGCGGGCACGGCCCUUCCCGGGGAGACCCCGGCCGUACCGGGACCCGGAUCCUCUCGGCGGGGAUUCCCAGCGGGGCCACGACCUGCAGAGAGCAGAAACUGCAAGCUGAAGCCCGCCCGUGGAGCGGGGGACACAGAGUGACGGGUCUGAGGGACGCGUUUUGACACCCAGCCCAGCGGGCAUCGCCGUGCUCGGGCCUGAAGAGGUCUCAACAGCUCCCAGGACUCAGAACAGCUGUGAUGUGAUGUGAAGGCUUCCACAACAGCCUCCACUGACUUCUGACACCACUGCAAUGUGUUACCACAACCUGAACCAUUAACAGGCUGAGAGGAACAAACCAACACUCCUGUCCUGCUGCCCAGAGUGCCCCACUGGCUUCAUACACACAGGUACUACACUCACCUGCUGAUCUUGGGUCCAUUCAGCACAUGCACUUCAGUUAGAAAAAAAAACCAAAACAAUGAAAUCAUCUUCUAUAAAUAAAUUCAACAAAUAAUGAGGAAAGCACAAUUCAUCUGUUUUUCUGAAGAGUACUUAGAAAUUUGGGCAUCUCCAUUCUUCUUACAGAUACUUUAUUCUAUGAUUAAAAACACUGUUCAGUUUUUAGAAUUACACUGUCUGUAUUUCAGGCAUUGCUUCCCUACUGACUGUGCAUACACAUUACCUGAAGUUCACACUAGGGCAAUAUUAAAAGAAAUUAAGAGGCAACUACACUAUUUAGUGUAGACUCAUCUGCUGGGACUGCAGCUUUGAGUUUUUGGUACUUUCUCAACCUCUCAACACUAGCAAAUACAUCUAUACCAUGGACCUGAUCCACUGCUGGCAUCAGUUGAAGAAUGAACAAACUGACAAAGAGAUUAUAAAUAUAUAACUGUAUUUUAUUUUUAAUAUUAAAUAUUUUUAAAUUACAAGCAGUUUUUUGAAUCACACUAUGCAUGAUAAUCAAUAUACAGUAGAAAUUACAAUUUAAAAAUGUACACAAUUUAAAGACAUUUUGACCUGAAAUUUCAUUAACUAUGAUAUAUUGCCAUAAACCUCAUACCUGUAUUAAAUUACAAUAGGAAAACCUCAUACCUAUGAUUUUGUUACAUAGUUUCUCAUUUACAAAUAGAAUUAAACAUUAUAUAUACACACACAUCAGUACCAUUUAUCAUUUAAGUUACACCUACAUCUGUGCAAGUUCAAACAAUUUCAUAAACAAAACUAACCGUAAGUCAUAUUCAAGUUUCUGAAAAAACAGGCUGCUGGUAUUACAAAUACGUAUUUUCAAUAAGUUUAUAUGACAUUUGUCUCUCCUCUAGAUUUUUUCCAGUCCAGAACCAUUGACAUACAAGGAUAUUUCUGUAUUACUUAAAGCUGAAGUAAUUUUGUAUACUCCAUUCUUAUUUAAGGCUAUUUCUUAUAAGGCUAAUGUACUCGGAUUCCACCUUUCACCAACUCCAACAAAAAUAGCCAUGUCGCUAACACCUGACAAUGCUGACAUUUUAGCAUAGUGCUUAACCACAAAAAAAGGUCUUUCUACCAACCAGCUUCCUCAUGAAAAAGACUUGAGUAUUACAUAAAAAUCUGCUAAAAAUACUGAUAAAAAGAAUGAGGCUUAAAUGGCUUUCAUUAGUGCAUCAACAAGGAUAUGAAAACAUGUUGAAUCUGCUCAUUUCCAUGAAAAUGGCAGUUUCCAUAAAUGCGGUUACACACGCAACAUCUCUGCAGCGUGAGAAUUUGGAAGAGUACAGGUGUUCUUAUUAAAACUGGACACUUCUCGCUCCGUUGGCUUCUCACUACUGAUCCUCAUUUUUAAACAAACUUCCUCAGGUGGGAAAUAUCAGAUCUUUUAAACAACUUUAGUAGCCAAAUUGAGACAAUGCCUUCAUUACUCAAAUAACCAGGGUAUCCUACUAGACAAGGAAUUAUAAUGUAACCAGUCCUCAUAAUAAACCAUUGAAAAUAGAUACAUGUACUUCUAAAACUGAAACCAUGCUUCAGUAACUAGUGCAAUACAAACAGUUCAAUGAAUGAUUUGUGACAAAUCCCCUAAUUAUAUGUAACAUAAUUACCAAUUCAUCUUCACUGUGCCAUUGACUGCUAGGCAGAUAUUUAAAUAUUGCUAGUAGUUGAUCAGAUUUUUAACUAGAAGUUUUUCCAAAAGAGACACUUUACAUCACUGCAAUCCAGCCUAGUGGAUUAACGAAACUCAAAUUCAUUGUUUAAACGAGGUGAGUCAACUUUAAAUACUCAUCUUCAUCUUACAGCUAAAAAGGACAUUACCUUGCUUAAUAUGAUACACAUCGCAGCUCGUUUUGGAAAAAAUGCUCCUUUGGCAAUUCAUUAGCAAUGAGUCCAUUUAAGGAGUAAACUUUUACUUUCUGUGUAAGAUUUUCUUUAGUUCUGAGUAAAGAAUAAAAAUCUUAGAUUUCCUUCAAGCAAAGGAAAAUUCAUGAU